GUCAAGUGGUUAGGGGUAUGAACGUGUCAGCUUCCCAAGCUGAAUGUCGUCGGUUCGAUCCCGAUCGCCC
This 70-nucleotide transfer RNA is filed under the name Lutibaculum baratangense AMV1. RNAcentral describes it as "tRNA-Gly". Lineage: Bacteria; Pseudomonadati; Pseudomonadota; Alphaproteobacteria; Hyphomicrobiales; Tepidamorphaceae. The record is from RNAcentral.